AUCUAAAUCCAUUAUUCCUACUUUUAGCGUGGGAACCAUCAGGCGAAAGUGAAAUACCACUACCUUUAACGUUAUUUUACUUAUUCCGUGAAUCGGAAGCAGGGCAACGCCCCUCUUUUUGGACCCAAGGCCCACCUCAGUGGGUCGAUCCAGGCAGAAGACAUUGUCAGGUUGGGGGUUUGGCUGGGGCGGCACAUCUGUUAAAAGACAGCGCAAGUGUCCUACGAUGAGCUCAACGAGAACAGAAAUCUCGUGUAGAAUAGAAAGGUAAAAGCUCGUUUGAUUCUGAUUUUCAGCAACACCCCGCUUGCGGUAUGCGCAUAUAAUGUAUAUAUGUGUAGGCCAUCGGGGGGCAAAA
This 358-nucleotide long non-coding RNA is filed under the name Helianthus annuus (common sunflower). RNAcentral describes it as "Eukaryotic large subunit ribosomal RNA". It matches the Rfam family "Eukaryotic large subunit ribosomal RNA", at positions 2439 to 2744 of the family's 3401-position model. The record is from RNAcentral. Lineage: Eukaryota; Viridiplantae; Streptophyta; Magnoliopsida; Asterales; Asteraceae.